CAAAAUGUAACUUAACUUAAAGUUUCUCGCUUACACCGAAAAUAUGUCUGUUUGACCAGAUCAUUUUGA
Molecule: transfer RNA, 69 nt
Filed under: Liurana xizangensis (Xizang papillae-tongued frog)
Lineage: Eukaryota; Metazoa; Chordata; Amphibia; Anura; Ceratobatrachidae
Description: tRNA-Val
Rfam family: tRNA
About the family: Transfer RNA (tRNA) molecules are approximately 80 nucleotides in length. Their secondary structure includes four short double-helical elements and three loops (D, anti-codon, and T loops).
Source: RNAcentral